This 63-nucleotide small RNA is filed under the name Salix viminalis (osier). The record is from RNAcentral. Lineage: Eukaryota; Viridiplantae; Streptophyta; Magnoliopsida; Malpighiales; Salicaceae.
CAGUUAGAGGAAUGAUGUACUAUAGAGAAGCCUUAAGAGUUCAGGCAUUUCUUGAUAUGGCUG